AGUGAACGCUGGCGGUAGGCCUAACACAUGCAAGUCGAACGGCAGCACAGUAAGAGCUUGCUCUUACGGGUGGCGAGUGGCGGACGGGUGAGGAAUACAUCGGAAUCUACUUUUUCGUGGGGGAUAACGUAGGGAAACUUACGCUAAUACCGCAUACGACCUACGGGUGAAAGCAGGGGAUCUUCGGACCUUGCGCGAUUGAAUGAGCCGAUGUCGGAUUAGCUAGUUGGCGGGGUAAAGGCCCACCAAGGCGACGAUCCGUAGCUGGUCUGAGAGGAUGAUCAGCCACACUGGAACUGAGACACGGUCCAGUCUCCUACGGGAGGCAGCAGUGGGGAAUAUUGGACAAUGGGCGCAAGCCUGAUCCAGCCAUACUGCGUGGGUGAAGAAGGCCUUCGGGUUGUAAAGCCCUUUUGUUGGGAAAGAAAAGCAGCAGGUUAAUACCCCGCUGUUCGGACGGUACCCAAAGAAUAAGCACCGGCUAACUUCGU
This 491-nucleotide ribosomal RNA is filed under the name uncultured bacterium. Its description in RNAcentral is "partial 16S ribosomal RNA". It matches the Rfam family "Bacterial small subunit ribosomal RNA", at positions 29 to 506 of the family's 1533-position model. The record is from RNAcentral.